AGAUGUUAAGGCAAUCUGACUGUUGUAUCUACCAUCUCACUGAUACCAAAAAAAUGGUUCAGCUAAGAAGCUUGCCUAGAUUGUAAGUGUCAAUUUUUUCUUCAUCAGUACAUGUGUCCCUCUGAAGGCUGCACACUUAGUCGAAGAGGACAAAGUUGUAUGAUACUGGAAGAUUUUUCUCUAGUGUUAUGGAUUUAAACAGGUGCACUCCCUGUUAUAAUCUCUAAAAACCUCAAAGACUAUUUGUAGGAGAAUAUAGGGCAGUCAGGCUUCUACAUCUCCAGGCACACUGAAGAGAAGCAUUGUAUAUAGCAGUCUAUCCUAU
Molecule: small nuclear RNA, 325 nt
Filed under: Nannospalax galili (Upper Galilee mountains blind mole rat)
Lineage: Eukaryota; Metazoa; Chordata; Mammalia; Rodentia; Spalacidae
Description: 7SK RNA (ENSNGAG00000001757.1)
Rfam family: 7SK RNA
About the family: 7SK was discovered as an abundant small nuclear RNA in the mid-70s but a possible function has only recently been suggested.
Source: Rfam by way of RNAcentral